Myotis davidii is the source of this 75-nucleotide non-coding RNA. The record is from Rfam. Lineage: Eukaryota; Metazoa; Chordata; Mammalia; Chiroptera; Vespertilionidae.
GGUGGUUCUCGAGUGAAGCACGCCAGAAUUGGGCUCCCUCCUCUCUGGUUCCAGGUGCGUCACCCGAGAACCACA